GACGAACGCUGGCGGCGUGCCUAAUACAUGCAAGUCGAACGCUUCUUUCCUCCCGAGUGCUUGCACUCAAUUGGAAAGAGGAGUGGCGGACGGGUGAGUAACACGUGGGUAACCUACCCAUCAGAGGGGGAUAACACUUGGAAACAGGUGCUAAUACCGCAUAACAGUUUAUGCCGCAUGGCAUAGGAGUGAAAGGCGCUUUCGGGUGUCGCUGAUGGAUGGACCCGCGGUGCAUUAGCUAGUUGGUGAGGUAACGGCUCACCAAGGCCACGAUGCAUAGCCGACCUGAGAGGGUGAUCGGCCACACUGGGACUGAGACACGGCCCAGACUCCUACGGGAGGCAGCAGUAGGGAAUCUUCGGCAAUGGACGAAAGUCUGACCGAGCAACGCCGCGUGAGUGAAGAAGGUUUUCGGAUCGUAAAACUCUGUUGUUAGAGAAGAACAAGGACGUUAGUAACUGAACGUCCCCUGACGGUAUCUAACCAGAAAGCCACGGCUAACUACGUG
RNAcentral lists this ribosomal RNA (508 nucleotides) under uncultured bacterium. Its description in RNAcentral is "partial 16S ribosomal RNA". It matches the Rfam family "Bacterial small subunit ribosomal RNA", at positions 28 to 507 of the family's 1533-position model. The record is from RNAcentral.